GAUGAACGCUGGCGGCGUGCCUAAUACAUGCAAGUCGAGCGAACAGAUAAGGAGCUUUCUCCUUUGACGUUAGCGGCGGACGGGUGAGUAACACGUGGGUAACCUACCUAUAAGACUGGGAUAACUUCGGGAAACCGGAGCUAAUACCGGCUAAUAUUUCGAACCGCAUGGUUCGAUAGUUAAUGAUGGUUUUGCUAUCACUUAUAGAUGGUCCCGCGCCGUAUUAGCUAGUUGGUAAGGUAACGGCUUACCAAGGCGACGAUACGUAGCCGACCUGAGAGGGUGAUCGGCCACACUGGAACUGAGACACGGUCCAGACUCCUACGGGAGGCAGCAGUAGGGAAUAUUCCGCAAUGGGCGAAAGCCUGACGGAGCAACGCCGCGUGAGUGAUGAAGGUCUUCGGAUCGUAAAACUCUGUUAUUAGGGAAGAACAUAAGUGUAAGUAACUGUGCACGUCUUGACGGUACCUAAUCAGAAAGCCACGGCUAACUACGUG
This 497-nucleotide ribosomal RNA is filed under the name uncultured bacterium. Its description in RNAcentral is "partial 16S ribosomal RNA". It matches the Rfam family "Bacterial small subunit ribosomal RNA", at positions 28 to 507 of the family's 1533-position model. The record is from RNAcentral.